RNAcentral lists this ribosomal RNA (495 nucleotides) under uncultured bacterium. RNAcentral describes it as "partial 16S ribosomal RNA". It matches the Rfam family "Bacterial small subunit ribosomal RNA", at positions 28 to 507 of the family's 1533-position model. The record is from RNAcentral.
GACGAACGCUGGCGGCGUGCCUAAUACAUGCAAGUAGAACGCUGAAGGAGGAGCUUGCUUCUCUGGAUGAGUUGCGAACGGGUGAGUAACGCGUAGGUAACCUGCCUGGUAGCGGGGGAUAACUAUUGGAAACGAUAGCUAAUACCGCAUAAGAGUAGAUGUUGCAUGACAUUUGCUUAAAAGGUGCAAUUGCAUCACUACCAGAUGGACCUGCGUUGUAUCAGCUAGUUGGUGGGGUAACGGCUCACCAAGGCGACGAUACAUAGCCGACCUGAGAGGGUGAUCGGCCACACUGGGACUGAGACACGGCCCAGACUCCUACGGGAGGCAGCAGUAGGGAAUCUUCGGCAAUGGACGGAAGUCUGACCGAGCAACGCCGCGUAAGUGAAGAAGGUUUUCGGAUCGUAAAGCUCUGUUGUAAGAGAAGAACGAGUGUGAGAGUGGAAAGUUCACACUGUGACGGUAUCUUACCAGAAAGGGACGGCUAACUACGUG